AAUCAACGCUGGCGGCGUGCCUCAGACAUGCAAGUCGAACGCGAAAGUCCCCUUCGGGGGACGAAGUAGAGUGGCGCACGGGUGAGUAACACGUAGGUAAUCUACCUUCGGAUGGGGAAGUAACAACCGGAAACGGUUAGCUAAUACCGCAUAAUGCAGCGGCACCUAAUGGUGACAGUUGUUAAAGACGGGGGAGUCGAAAGACCUCGCGUCUGAAGAGGAGCCUGCGGCGGAUUAGCAGUUGGUAAGGUAACGGCUUACCAAGGCGACGAUCCGUAGCCGGCCUGAGAGGGGCGGUCGGCCACACUGACACUGACAUACGGGUCAGACUCCUACGGGAGGCAGCAGUCGGGAAUUUUGGGUCGAAUGGGCGAAAGCCUGACCCAGCAACGCCGCGUGAAGGAUGAAAUCCCUC
RNAcentral lists this ribosomal RNA (415 nucleotides) under uncultured bacterium. Its description in RNAcentral is "bacterial SSU rRNA". It matches the Rfam family "Bacterial small subunit ribosomal RNA", at positions 32 to 419 of the family's 1533-position model. The record is from RNAcentral.